Molecule: ribosomal RNA, 566 nt
Filed under: Alligator sinensis (Chinese alligator)
Lineage: Eukaryota; Metazoa; Chordata; Crocodylia; Alligatoridae
Description: partial large subunit ribosomal RNA
Rfam family: Bacterial large subunit ribosomal RNA
Source: RNAcentral
AGCCUUCAGCAAACAACAAGUAUUGAAGGUGAUGCCUGCCCAGUGACCCUCAAAGUUCAACGGCCGCGGUAUCCUAACCGUGCGAAGGUAGCGCAAUCAAUUGUCCCAUAAAUUGAGACUUGUAUGAAUGGCUAAACGAGGUCUUAACUGUCUCUUGCAGAUAAUCAGUGAAAUUAGUAUUCCCGUGCAAAAACGAGAAUGUGACCAUAAGACGAGAAGACCCUGUGGAACUUAAAAAUAACGACCACCUCCCCACCAACACCACCCACCGGGCCCACCUAUGCAAAAUACCUGGUCGACAUUUUUCGGUUGGGGCGACCUUGGAGAAAAACAAAUCCUCCAAACCUGCAGACCACAACUCUUCACUAAGAUCAACCCAUCAAAGUACUAAAAGUAAUUUAGACCCAAUAUAAUUGACCAAUGAACCAAGCUACCCCAGGGAUAACAGCGCAAUCUCCUCCAAGAGCCCAUAUCGACAAGGAGGUUUACGACCUCGAUGUUGGAUCAGGACAACCUAAUGGUGCAGCCGCUAUUAAGGGUUCGUUUGUUCAACGAUUAACAGUCCU